AGAGAUGAUAAUUCGAUUAAUUAAUUAAUUUUCAAGUUUGGUCUCCGCCAGUUCACGGAUUGUAGCGUCAAUCUCCCGUUGUUUGAUGCGCUCGUGCAAAUAGAAAAGCAAUUUCUCCCUCGGUGGCAGGGUUUCUUUGAUCAAAGGGUUAUCCAGAAACUUGCUUUUCCAUGCAGUAAUGGCUGGAAAUCUUUUCGGGUCAAGAAAUUGAAUGGAUGCAAUUUCUUCCCAAAUUGGAAUAAGGUAAUUGAUCCAUCCAAUUGCAACUUCCAAAUACGCAUAUUUGUUCUCUCCUCCAAAGUAGCUUUUUCCUUUGAGUUCUCCCUCUAUCUUCUCCAAAACUUCCUUUGUUGCUUUCAGAGCAUCCUCUUUUUCCUCUCCUUUGGUCCACGUUGACUUCCAUGCAGUUUGCAUCAGCUAAAAAUAAAAAAUUAGGAGGCCAAACCAGUAUUUUAGUUCAGAGAGAACUUUAACAGAAAAACCACAAACUUGUAAUUGAAAAAAUCAAAUCGAAGUUUUAAUUGAAUUCAAAGUUGUAAAAACAUUAACACUCACCUUUUCAUCUGCAAAUUUAGCCCAAAAUCGAGCCAUGGCUCUUUCAUAAGGAUCUUGAGGCAGCAACGGAUCUUGUGGCCAUGUCUCAUCGAUGUACUCCAGAAUAACAAACGACUCAACUAUCACUUUGUCAUCAUGAACAAGCACAGGAACCUUUUUAUGAACUGGGUUCAGCUCAAGAAGCCUGGUGCUUUUGUUAAAGAUGUCUUCUUCAAUGUAUUCAAAUUCAACACCCUUUAGCUUCAAUGCCCAUACUACCCUAAACACAAAAGGACUACACCAAAACCCCAAAACCUUCACUUUUGUUGCCAUAAUCUUCUGCUAUUGUGAUUUGUGAAUGUGAGGUGAGAUCUAUCCACACACACACACUCACUUCUAGAUAAGUGGAAAACUAGAUUUUUAUAAUAAUUACAAGUUAGAAGACAAGAUAGACGGCAACUUUGACUGCUGUAGAUUAUUAUUAUUUUUUUUCGAUUGGUUACAUAUAAAUUAAAGAAUCCAACUUUUAUGCUACAUACACACGACCUUUAAUGUAAAUGGAAUUUUUCUCGAGAAUGCGACACUUCUUGAGAGGCAAGGCAUGACUUAAUUAACCUGCGUGUGUGUUUUUGCCGUUGACGGUGUUGAGUGUUGUGAGGACAGGCAAGGCAUGACUUAAUUAACCUGCGUGUGUGUUUUUGCCAUUGACGGUGUUGAGUUCUGUGAGGACAUUUGGAAUUUCAAAAGUCUAGUUUCUAAUUUUUAUUUUUUUUUCAUUUCAAUGUUUUAUAUGCAACAAUAUCCUAUGUAGAGAUGACUGAUGAGAACUUCUCCCCUUUUUUAAUUUAAAAAUAGUUCCUUGUUAAAAUAUUUUUCUAACACUAUUUUAUAAAAGAAUUUAAUUUUUAGAGGUGGAUAUGGGUUGAAUUGGAUUCAGUUUAUAAAAAUCCAACUCAAUCCAUUGUUAAUUGGGUUGAGAAGAAUUAAUAAAUUAAACAAAUAAACAUGUCAAAUCCAACCCACUCCAACCCUUAAAUCAUCGGCAAUGGUUUGGUUGGGUUGGGUUGGGUUGAGUUGAUCUUGAUCAAAAUUAAAAAUACAAAAAAUUUAAAUAUAAAAGUUUAAAAAAUGAUUUGGAAUUUAAAAUUAAAUUCAAAUAGUAAAAAAGCACAUAAUUCCCCAUCAUAAAAUUAAAUAUUUUCCAUUGUAACCAACAUCUAACGAUAAAUAACACGAUGUUCUUUUCUUUUUAAAUGUUUUUAGAGUUUUUUUUAAAAAAAAUAGAUUUCAUAAGUUUUAUACGAUGGAUGGUUGAAAAAAAAAUUAUAAUAAAAAUAAAAUUGGGAUUAUUUGAGAUAUUGUAAGGGAUAAAAAUUAAUUUCAAAUUUUUAAUGAAUUUAACUAAAAAGUGGGGACUAGUUAGAUAAAAUAAAAGAGUCAAUUAUCACCACUUAAUAAAUUGACCGAAUCAACCCAUUAUAACCCAAUCAAUCUAUAUUAAUUUAACUAGAUUGAGUUAGAUUAAUUUGGGCCUUAGUAAACCCAUAGAAUUUUCUUGUCUAAAUUGAGCCUGCAGUAUGAUGAUUUGGGUGGUGGUACAGUAAUGCAGGCCCCAAGAUAUGGUCAAGGGCUCAAAGCUAUCCUGUCUCAUGAUGCUUGCAGCUCCUUCUGGUAGUAUUAAGUCUUCAAGCUAUUAUUAUUUUUGCUUGAUUUUCUUUAGAGAGUUGUUAUUAUUAUUAUUUGUUAAAAUUUAAAUGAUGUCAUCCACUAAACUAUUUUAUAAACCCAUCUUUUCAAAAGAUCUAUUAUUAAAUAUAUAUAAAAAAACAACUUUUUUUAGCUAUACACCCACUAGGAUGCCUAAUGCAACCUCUGUCCCUUAACUAAAAUUUACUACUCCCAUUAUUUUACUAAAUAAACUCAUCUUUGAAACCAUUUAUACAACCGUUAUUUGCAAAAUUCUGAUAAAAAGAGAGAAGCUUCCUAGUUCUUUGUAGGCUUCCAAAUUUAUGAAGACAUAACAGGCAGUUCUUGCAUAUUAUAGAACAUAGGCCUAAUCAUAGGAUAUCAUCUUAUUCUUUCUAAAUAUUUGAUUUAAAGAUGAAAUAUACAUUACACACAACAUUGCAACUUUAAUUCUCCGAUGCACAAAAGUCGGCAUAAUCUCUUCUACUCGCUUGUGAAAAUAGGCAAGCGUCUUGUCCCUGGGUGGCAAGUUUUCUUUGAUGACAGGGUGUUUCAGAAACUUGGUGCUCCAUUCAGCAAUGGCCGAGAAUUUCUAAGUGUAACAACAACAUUAAUAGUCCAACAUAAAUUCAUAAUUGAUUACAUCACAAUAUCUUGUGAUAUAUACCUUACUGCAGAUCUGUUUGAUUUUUCAUUAUUUUUAAGUGUCUUUUCUAAUAGGCAUAGGCUUUGAAAAUGGUUAAUUUGUUAAGAGUAAGGCUCGCUUAGAUCCUUCUCGAACUAGCUGCUAGUUGUAUUCUUUGCAAUUCUUUUAUUUUAAUAAAUUUAUCAUUCUGUGGGUAUUAAGAUAUUAUACAUACAACAGGAGAUAUUCGUUAUUUCUAAAAACUUAAAAUUUUUAAAAAUGAGUGAUGCUAUAUUUAUUUAGUUGGAAUAUUUUGUUUAUAUUUCAAUUUAUGUGAAAUGAUAAAACUUAAUAACUAACUAGCACUUAAGUUAAUCAAAUAAUGUCACAGCAAUUGGAAUAUAAACUAGUUAUCCUAACUAAACUAGUAUAAUAUUAUUGUUUUUAGCAACACAAUGUUAGUUGAAUAUAAAAAAUGAAUGUUCUAUACAUACCUCCGAAUAAUUGAUGUAUAUAUUUGAUAUUUUUAACUCAUCUUAUAUUGGGUUCGUCUAUCUUAUAAAAACUUACUAUCAUUGUAACAUACAAUUAUUGUAAGGUAAUUUUUUUUUUCAUCUUAUUUUAUAGCUUGUAAAUCUAAAAUCUUUAAGAGUCUGUUUAUAGAAUUUCUCCUAAUUAUAUGAAGUUAACAAAAAUGAUAAGAACUAAUGUAUGAUACCCUUUUGGAAACAAUUAAUUUGCCCAAUAAUUAUACUAGCAACAAAAAUUCGAAUAGAAAAUAAGUUUAAUUAAUGCUCAGGGGCGCCAAAUGCUCUUCCCAUUAUAGUAUAUUGAUGAAAUGUUUUUCUUGUUUAAUUUAAUUUAAAUAAAACAAAUUUUCAUUACAUUGGAGGAUCUCCACUUAAUUGCAAUUGAAUAUUGGGUUAAAGGCAAUAUUCCUCAAGAUCUAAAUGAGUUUUUUAACAUGAAUUAAACUCAUAGAUUUCAAUAUGUUAUAAUGGACAAAUUCACCUAUGAGUGGAUCCAAAUUAUCUUUCUAUGUGAUAAGGAUCUAACAAAAAAAAAAUAAAUUGAUGUGCACAUAACAGAAGUUAAUUAAGGAAAAAUCCUACAUUAAUAUGGGAUGAACUUUAGGCCAUGUUUAUAAGAUUGAAGCUAAUCUUCAACUCUUUUUUUUUUUUAAUAUUAAUCACGAGGUAUCCUGGGGAGGGCCCCAACUGUGGGAGGCACCUUUAAGCCAGUACCACAAUCCAGACUAGAAGUCCCCGCUCGAACCGGGAGGCACAAGUUCUCCCAACAAAGGCGACUUCCCUGCGACUCGAACUGGGGAGCAAACCCAGUCAAGCCACUUAAGGGGACUCAAUUGCCAGUGGAGCCAACACUUUGUUGGUUUAAUCUUCAACUCUUUAACUCUUGAUCUAGCUACAAAUUCCAUAUAUCUGAAAAAAUAGUUCCAUGAAAGUAAUGUAUAAUUUUUGUCCCGCCAAAGCAUAAUAAAUAGGUCAUACCUCUUCUUUAUUUUCUCAACACAGAUUCAACUUGACCCAAAGUACUUAUAAAAAUAAUAAUAACAAUAAUAAUAAAAAACAACGAAAUCAUACAGAGCGAAUAAAAAAGAGACACGUGCAGAGAUGAUAAUUCGAUUAAUUAAUUAAUUUUCAAGUUUGGUCUCCGCCAGUUCACGGAUUGUAGCGUCAAUCUCCCAAUGUUUGACGCGCUCGUGAAAAUAGAUAAGCAAUUUCUCCCUUGGUGGCAGGGUUUCUUUGAUCAAAGGGUUAUCCAGAAACUUGCUUUUCCAUGCAGUAAUGGCUGGAAAUCUUUUCGGGUCAAGAAAUUGAAUGGAUGCAAUUUCUUCCCAAAUUGGUAUAAGGUAAUUGAUCCAUCCAAUUGCAACUUCCAAAUACGCAUAUUUGUUCUCUCCUCCAAAGUAGCUUUUUCCUUUGAGUUCUCCCUCUAUCUUCUCCAAAGCUUCCAUUGUUGCUUUCAGAGCAUCCUCUUUUUCCUCUCCUUUGGUCCACGUUGACUUCCAUACAGUUUGCAUCAGCUAAAAAUAAAAAAUUAGGAGGCCAAACCAGUAUUUUAGUUCAGAGAGAACUUUAACAGAAAAACCACAAACUUGUAAUUGAAAAAAUCAAAUCGAAGUUUUAAUUGAAUUCAAAGUUGUAAAAACAUUAACACUCACCUUUUCAUCUGCAAAUUUAGCCCAAAAUCGAGCCAUGGCUCUUUCAUAAGGAUCUUGAGGCAGCAACGGAUCUUGUGGCCAUGUCUCAUCGAUGUACUCCAGAAUAACAAACGACUCAACUAUCACUUUGUCAUCAUGAACAAGCACAGGAACCUUUUUAUGAACUGGGUUCAGCUCAAGAAGCCUGGUGCUUUUGUUAAAGAUGUCUUCUUCAAUGUAUUCAAAUUCAACACCCUUUAGCUUCAAUGCCCAUACUACCCUAAACACAAAAGGACUACACCAAACCCCCAAAACCUUCACUUUUGUUGCCAUAAUCUUCUGCUAUUGUGAUUUGUGAAUGUGAGGUGAGAUCUAUCCACACACACACACUCACUUCUAGAUAAGUGGAAAACUAGAUUUUUAUAAUAAUUACAAGUUAGAAGACAAGAUAGACGGCAACUUUGACUGCUGUAGAUUAUUAUUAUUUUUUUUCGAUUGGUUACAUAUAAAUUAAAGAAUCCAACUUUUAUGCUACAUACACACGACCUUUAAUGUAAAUGGAAUUUUUCUCGAGAAUGCGACACUUCUUGAGAGGCAAGGCAUGACUUAAUUAACCUGCGUGUGUGUUUUUGCCAUUGACGGUGUUGAGUUCUGUGAGGACAUUUGGAAUUUCAAAAGUCUAGUUUCUAAUUUUUAUUUUUUUUUCAUUUCAAUGUUUUAUAUGCAACAAUAUCCUAUGUAGAGAUGACUGAUGAGAACUUCUCCCCUUUUUUAAUUUAAAAAUAGUUCCUUGUUAAAAUAUUUUUCUAACACUAUUUUAUAAAAGAAUUUAAUUUUUAGAGGUGGAUAUGGGUUGAAUUGGAUUCAGUUUAUAAAAAUCCAACUCAAUCCAUUGUUAAUUGGGUUGAGAAGAAUUAAUAAAUUAAACAAAUAAACAUGUCAAAUCCAACCCACUCCAACCCUUAAAUCAUCGGCAAUGGUUUGGGAAUUUCUGAGAAUCAAGAAUUCGCAUGGAUCCAUCAGCUUCUUCCCAAACAGGAAGCCAGUAACUGAUCCAUCCAAUUGC
Molecule: long non-coding RNA, 6072 nt
Filed under: Citrus sinensis (sweet orange)
Lineage: Eukaryota; Viridiplantae; Streptophyta; Magnoliopsida; Sapindales; Rutaceae
Description: long non-coding RNA (CSIN_LNC003850)
Source: RNAcentral